This is a long non-coding RNA of Melanotaenia boesemani (Boeseman's rainbowfish), 711 nucleotides long. RefSeq lists it as uncharacterized. The transcript is spliced from 3 exons. Lineage: Eukaryota; Metazoa; Chordata; Actinopteri; Atheriniformes; Melanotaeniidae. The record is from RefSeq and is a predicted model, not a curated record.
CUGGGUUAUUUAAUUAAUGUAAGUGAUGGGUUGUGAAAUGUAUAACCCAUUUUGGGUUAUUAUAUGGGUAUUGGGUUAUUAACUGGGUUAUUGUUGUGAACCCAUGCAUUGGGUUAAACCUUGGUUAAAGACAGUUCAGUUAUAUACUAUCUUUACAUCAACCCAACAAACAUUAGUUAACCCAUCACCUGGGUUGUUUAUGUUUUGAACGUCUCCACGUCAUACGUCAUGACAUCGAUUACUUCAAACGGAGCACUGGACGGCAAUCUAACCGAUCGUCGUUGACCCAGCAAUCAAAGUGGCAAGGUCAAUGGACAGUUUUGUGGUGGACAAACUAACUCGAUGGCAGCUGACAGACCUUAUUGAUAUUUUUAAAGACAGUUUGGGAGUUUCUCCAAGAUGGAGUGUACGGAAUGGAAGGAGAUGAGUCUAAACCUGUUAAGUUUUUACGUGCAGCAAUACUUGCUUGUAAAUAGACAGUGGAUGUGUUUGUUUGUUUUGUUCUGCUGAGAGUUGACAUCGACCUUGUUAAAUCACAGAUCUGGUUUUAAGUUUCAAUUGUGAUAUGUAUAUAUGUAUGUAUAUAUUUGCUUCAUGCUCAGAGUCAUUUAUUUUUGUUUCAAAUGGAUAUUUGAAGAAUCUUUUCUGAUAUUAUAUUAUAAUAAAUGUUCUACCACUCUUUAAAAUUGUUUGUCUUUUAAUGUAACUGUU